This 2427-nucleotide ribosomal RNA is filed under the name Vibrio parahaemolyticus. RNAcentral's name for it is "bacterial LSU rRNA". It matches the Rfam family "Bacterial large subunit ribosomal RNA", at positions 533 to 2925 of the family's 2925-position model. Lineage: Bacteria; Pseudomonadati; Pseudomonadota; Gammaproteobacteria; Vibrionales; Vibrionaceae. The record is from RNAcentral.
GGGGAGUGAAAUAGAACCUGAAACCGUGUACGUACAAGCAGUAGGAGCAGGCUUUGUCCUGUGACUGCGUACCUUUUGUAUAAUGGGUCAGCGACUUAUAUUCAGUGGCAAGGUUAACCAUCUAGGGGAGCCGUAGGGAAACCGAGUCUUAACUGGGCGUUCAGUCUCUGGAUAUAGACCCGAAACCAGGUGAUCUAGCCAUGGGCAGGUUGAAGGUUGAGUAACAUCAACUGGAGGACCGAACCGACUAAUGUUGAAAAAUUAGCGGAUGACUUGUGGCUAGGGGUGAAAGGCCAAUCAAACCUGGAGAUAGCUGGUUCUCCCCGAAAGCUAUUUAGGUAGCGCCUCGGACGAAUACUACUGGGGGUAGAGCACUGUUAAGGCUAGGGGGUCAUCCCGACUUACCAACCCUUUGCAAACUCCGAAUACCAGUAAGUACUAUCCGGGAGACACACGGCGGGUGCUAACGUCCGUCGUGGAGAGGGAAACAACCCAGACCGCCAGCUAAGGUCCCAAAUUACUACUAAGUGGGAAACGAUGUGGGAAGGCUCAGACAGCCAGGAUGUUGGCUUAGAAGCAGCCAUCAUUUAAAGAAAGCGUAAUAGCUCACUGGUCGAGUCGGCCUGCGCGGAAGAUGUAACGGGGCUAAGUAGUAAACCGAAGCUGCGGCAAUGUGCUUUUGCACAUUGGGUAGGGGAGCGUUCUGUAAGCGGUUGAAGGUGUGUGGUAACGCAUGCUGGACGUAUCAGAAGUGCGAAUGCUGACAUGAGUAACGAUAAAGGGGGUGAAAAACCUCCUCGCCGGAAGACCAAGGGUUCCUGUCCAACGUUAAUCGGGGCAGGGUAAGUCGACCCCUAAGGCGAGGCCGAAAGGCGUAGUCGAUGGGAAACGGGUUAAUAUUCCCGUACUUCUUACAAUUGCGAUGGGGGGACGGAGAAGGCUAGGUGGGCCUGGCGACGGUUGUCCAGGUUCAAGUGCGUAGGCUUAAGAGUUAGGUAAAUCCGGCUCUUUUUAAGGCUGAGACACGACGUCGAGCAUCUACGGAUGUGAAGUCAUUGAUGCCAUGCUUCCAGGAAAAGCCUCUAAGCUUCAGAUUGUAAGGAAUCGUACCCCAAACCGACACAGGUGGUCGGGUAGAGAAUACCAAGGCGCUUGAGAGAACUCGGGUGAAGGAACUAGGCAAAAUGGUACCGUAACUUCGGGAGAAGGUACGCUCUCGACGGUGAAGUCCCUCGCGGAUGGAGCUAUUGAGAGUCGCAGAUACCAGGUGGCUGCAACUGUUUAUUAAAAACACAGCACUGUGCAAAAUCGUAAGAUGACGUAUACGGUGUGACGCCUGCCCGGUGCCGGAAGGUUAAUUGAUGGGGUUAGACUUCGGUCGAAGCUCUUGAUCGAAGCCCCGGUAAACGGCGGCCGUAACUAUAACGGUCCUAAGGUAGCGAAAUUCCUUGUCGGGUAAGUUCCGACCUGCACGAAUGGCGUAAUGAUGGCCACGCUGUCUCCACCCGAGACUCAGUGAAAUUGAAAUCGCUGUGAAGAUGCAGUGUACCCGCGGCUAGACGGAAAGACCCCGUGAACCUUUACUACAGCUUGGCACUGAACAUUGACCCUACAUGUGUAGGAUAGGUGGGAGGCUUUGAAGCACGUACGCCAGUAUGUGUGGAGCCGUCCUUGAAAUACCACCCUUGUAGUGUUGAUGUUCUAACGUCGACCCCUUAUCGGGGUUGCGGACAGUGCCUGGUGGGUAGUUUGACUGGGGCGGUCUCCUCCCAAAGAGUAACGGAGGAGCACGAAGGUGGGCUAAUCACGGUUGGACAUCGUGAGGUUAGUGCAAUGGCAUAAGCCCGCUUGACUGCGAGAAUGACAAUUCGAGCAGGUGCGAAAGCAGGUCAUAGUGAUCCGGUGGUUCUGAAUGGAAGGGCCAUCGCUCAACGGAUAAAAGGUACUCCGGGGAUAACAGGCUGAUACCGCCCAAGAGUUCAUAUCGACGGCGGUGUUUGGCACCUCGAUGUCGGCUCAUCACAUCCUGGGGCUGAAGUCGGUCCCAAGGGUAUGGCUGUUCGCCAUUUAAAGUGGUACGCGAGCUGGGUUUAGAACGUCGUGAGACAGUUCGGUCCCUAUCUGCCGUGGGCGUUGGAAGAUUGAAGGGGGCUGCUCCUAGUACGAGAGGACCGGAGUGGACGAACCUCUGGUGUUCGGGUUGUGUCGCCAGACGCAUUGCCCGGUAGCUAAGUUCGGAAUCGAUAACCGCUGAAAGCAUCUAAGCGGGAAGCGAGCCCUGAGAUGAGUCUUCCCUGAUACUUUAAGUAUCCUAAAGGGUUGUCGGAGACUACGACGUUGAUAGGCAGGUGUGUAAGUGCUGUGAGGCAUUGAGCUAACUGAUACUAAUUGCCCGUGAGGCUUAACCAUACAACACCUAAGGGGUUU